AUUGAACGCUGGCGGCAGGCUUAACACAUGCAAGUCGCACGAGUGGCGGACGGGUGAGUAAUGCUUGGGAAUCUAGCUUAUGGAGGGGGAUAAAUACGGGAAACUGUAGCUAAUACCACGUACCAUAGGAUGAGCCCAAGUGGGAUUAGGUAGUUGGUGAGGGAAAGGCUCACCAAGCAGACGAUCUCUAGCUGGUCUGAGAGGAUGACAAUACACACUGGGACGGAGACACGGCCCAGACUCCUACGGGAGUCCGCAGUGGGGAAUAUUGCGCAAUGGGGGCAACCUGACGCAGCCAUGCCGCGUGAAUGAAGAAGGCCUUCGGGUUGUAAAGUUCUUUCGGUAGCGAGGCGUUAACUACAGAAGAAGCACCGGCUAACUCCGUGCCAGCCGCCGCGGUAAUAC
Molecule: ribosomal RNA, 405 nt
Filed under: uncultured bacterium
Lineage: Bacteria
Description: partial 16S ribosomal RNA
Rfam family: Bacterial small subunit ribosomal RNA
Source: RNAcentral